RNAcentral lists this long non-coding RNA (429 nucleotides) under Prunus persica (peach). RNAcentral's name for it is "long non-coding RNA (PPER_LNC000094)". Lineage: Eukaryota; Viridiplantae; Streptophyta; Magnoliopsida; Rosales; Rosaceae. The record is from RNAcentral.
CCGCACGCGCUCGUCUCAGCCAAAUGGUCGCCGCCUUCAAGCCAGUUGUCGCCGCGCUUCUCUCGCUCCCGAUGCCGACGGUAGCCGCCGUCCAAGGCCACGCCGCUGCAGCCGGAUUCUUAUUGGCUCUGAGCCACGACUACUUCCUGAUGAGGCGCGAUAGAGGCGUGCUGUAUAUGAGCGAGGUCGAUUUGGGGCUGCCAUUCCCAGACUACUUCACGGCGGCGUUUCUGGCGAAGAUCGGGUCGGUUUCGGGUAGGAGGGACGUGAUGCUGAGGGGGAUGAAGCUGAAGGGAGACGAGGCUGUCAAGCUUGGGAUUGUGGAAUCGGCGCACGAUAGCGCGGAAAGCACGGUGGAGGCUGCGGUGCGCCUGGGGGAGCAGUUGGCGAAGAGGAAAUGGAACGGCGACGUUUACGCGGAGAUCAGGA